GAUAGGGAUAUGCAUCCAAGUAUGUUUCCGAGAAAAACUUCUAAGCUUCAGGUGAGUAUUACCCGUACCGCAAACCGACACAGGUAGUCAAGUAGAAUAUACUAAGGCGCUCGAGUGAUCCGUGGCUAAGGAACUAGGCAAAUUAACCCCGUAACUUCGGGAGAAGGGGUGCCUCCAGCAAUGGAGGCCGCAGAGAAAUGGCGGUGGCGACUGUUUAACAAAAACACAGGGCUUUGCAAAAACGAAAGUUGAAGUAUAAGGCCUGACACCUGCCCGGUGCUGGAAGGUUAAGAGGAGAGGUCAUCGCAAGAGAAGCUUUGAAUCGAAGCCCCAGUAAACGGCGGCCGUAACGAUAACGGUCCUAAGGUAGCGAAAUUCCUUGUCGGGUAAGUUCCGACCUGCACGAAUGGUGUAACGAUCUCCGCUCUGUCUCAGCCACGAGCUCGGUGAAAUUGUGGUAUCAGUGAAGACGCUGAUUACCCGCAACGGGACGGAAAGACCCCAUGCACCUUUACUAUAGCUUAACAUUGAUUUCGGGUAAGUGAUGUGUAGAAUAGGUAGGAGGCUUUGAAGCAGUGGCGCUAGCCAUUGUGGAGCCGAAAUGUGAAAUACUACCCUUUACUUACUAGAAGUCUAACUCUGCAAAGAGGACAUUGUUUGGUGGGUAGUUUGACUGGGGUGGUCGCCUCCGAAAGGGUAUCGGAGGCUUUCAAAGGUUCGCUCAGUACGCUUGGUAACCGUACGUAGAGUGCAAUAGCAUAAGCGAGCUUGACUGUGAGGCCGACAAGCCAAGCAGGUACGAAAGUAGGAUAUAGUGAUCCGGUGGUUCCGCAUGGAAGGGCCAUCGCUCAUAGGAUAAAGGUACGCUGGGAUAACAGGCUGAUCCCUCCCAAGAGCUCAUAUCGACGGGGGGGUUUGGCACCUCGAUGUCGGCUCGUCACAUCCUGGGGCUGGAGAAGGUCCCAAGGGUUCGGCUGUUCGCCGAUUAAAGUGGCACGCGAGCUGGGUUCAGAACGUCGUGAGACAGUUCGGUCCCUAUCUGUUGUGGGCGUUAGAAAAUUGAGGGGCCCUGACUCUAGUACGAGAGGACCGAGUCGGACAAACCGCUAGUGUACCUGUUGUUUCGCCAGAAGCACCGCAGGGUAGCUAUGUUUGGAUGAGAUAAGCGCUGAAAGCAUCUAAGUGCGAAACUCACCUCAAGAUAAGUUUUCUUUAUAAGGAUCGUGGUAGACUACCACGUUGAUAGGCUACAGAUGUAUAGGCAGUAAUGUCAAAGUCGAGUAGUACUAAUUGUC
Molecule: ribosomal RNA, 1295 nt
Filed under: metagenome
Description: bacterial LSU rRNA
Rfam family: Bacterial large subunit ribosomal RNA
Source: RNAcentral